RNAcentral lists this ribosomal RNA (427 nucleotides) under uncultured bacterium. RNAcentral describes it as "bacterial SSU rRNA". It matches the Rfam family "Bacterial small subunit ribosomal RNA", at positions 355 to 774 of the family's 1533-position model. The record is from RNAcentral.
CUAAGAAUCUUCCGCAAUGGGCGAAAGCCUGACGGAGCGACGCCGCGUGGGUGAAGAAGGCCUAACGGUUGUAAAACCCUUUUCUGCGUGAGGAAUAAGGACAGAAGGGAAUGUCUGUCUGAUGACGGUAGCGCAGGAAUAAGCCCCGGCUAAUUACGUGCCAGCAGCCGCGGUAACACGUAUGGGGCGAGCGUUGUUCGGAAUCAUUGGGCGUAAAGGGCGUGUAGGCGGUUAUGAAAGCCUGGUGUGAAAGACUGCAGCUCAACUGCAGGAGCGCGCUGGGAACUGUGUAACUUGAGUUCUGGAGGGGGAGUUAGAAUUCCAGGUGUAGGGGUGAAAUCUGUAGAUAUCUGGAAGAAUACCGGUGGCGAAGGCGAACUCCUGGCCAAGAACUGACGCUGAGGCGCGAAAGCGUGGGGAGCGAACA